GAUGAACGCUGGCGGCGUGCCUAAUACAUGCAAGUCGAGCGAACAGACGAGAAGCUUGCUUCUCUGACGUUAGCGGCGGACGGGUGAGUAACACGUGGAUAACCUACCUAUAAGACUGGGAUAACUUCGGGAAACCGUAGCUAAUACCGGAUAAUAUUUUGAACCGCAUGGUUCAAUAGUGAAAGACGGUCUUGCUGUCACUUAUAGAUGGAUCCGCGCUGCAUUAGCUAGUUGGUAAGGUAACGGCUUACCAAGGCAACGAUGCAUAGCCGACCUGAGAGGGGGAUCGGCCACUCUGGAACUGAGCCACGGCCCGGACACCGAGGGGAGGCAGCGUUGGGGAAGCUUCCGAAAUGGGGGAAAGCCUGACGAAGCAACGCGGGGUGGGUGAUGAAGUGCUUCGGGUGGGAAAACGCUUUUAUUGGGGAAAACCAAAUUGGUAGGUAACUGUGCCCAUGUGAAGGGAACCGAUACAGAAGGCCAGGCUAAAUAAGUG
RNAcentral lists this ribosomal RNA (496 nucleotides) under uncultured bacterium. Its description in RNAcentral is "partial 16S ribosomal RNA". It matches the Rfam family "Bacterial small subunit ribosomal RNA", at positions 28 to 507 of the family's 1533-position model. The record is from RNAcentral.